AGUGAACGCUGGCGGUAGGCCUAACACAUGCAAGUCGAACGGCAGCACAGUAAGAGCUUGCUCUUACGGGUGGCGAGUGGCGGACGGGUGAGGAAUACAUCGGAAUCUACUUUUUCGUGGGGGAUAACGUAGGAAACUUACGCUAAUACCGCAUACGACCUACGGGUGAAAGCAGGGGAUCUUCGGACCUUGCGCGAUUGAAUGAGCCGAUGUCGGAUUAGCUAGUUGGCGGGGUAAAGGCCCACCAAGGCGACGAUCCGUAGCUGGUCUGAGAGGAUGAUCAGCCACACUGGAACUGAGACACGGUCCAGACUCCUACGGGAGGCAGCAGUGGGGAAUAUUGGACAAUGGGCGCAAGCCUGAUCCAGCCAUACCGCGUGGGUGAAGAAGGCCUUCGGGUUGUAAAGCCCUUUUGUUGGGAAAGAAAAGCAGCAGGUUAAUACCCCGCUGUUCUGACGGUACCCAAAGAAUAAGCACCGGCUAACUUCGUG
This 491-nucleotide ribosomal RNA is filed under the name uncultured bacterium. RNAcentral describes it as "partial 16S ribosomal RNA". It matches the Rfam family "Bacterial small subunit ribosomal RNA", at positions 29 to 507 of the family's 1533-position model. The record is from RNAcentral.